UCUGGUUUCAAAUUCCUUCCAUCAAUUUCUUCAAGACCGAAGCAUGAGAUCUGUAAGUGGUCAGCUACUGAGUAGCUUCUCGCAAGCUGUUCUUAGGCUCCCAACCUGAAGAUUCUCACUACAAAAUCAACCUCUAUUUUCUCUGUUUUCUAAUAAUUUUCAUGGAUCUAACCAUGAGAAAGGGUCAAAUUCACAAAAAUACUUCAGUUAUACUAACAUUCAAUACUGCUAGGCCCAAAAUUUAUUCACCUAAUGCAGAAAACAUAAUGAUUUAUGAGUUUAACCAUGUUAAGGGUUAAACACAUAAACUGCCACAAGUUCCAAGUUCAAAAUCAUGCGAGGCUGCUUUGGUGAAGUGCUAAAAUAAACUCAAAGAGAGUAAAAAAAGGAGGCUUAGUCCAUGGACCUAACCAUGCAAGGGUCAGGCUCAAUGAACCAGCCUGGUUUUGAGGAGGGAAAAGCUUGAACAUAUUGACUAAUCAUUGCAAGAAGAGAAAGGAAUGCAUACUAGCAGGAGAGAAUUAACACUAUCAAAGAAGUUAAAGCAUUAUUACAGAAGCAAUGGGUAAAAAAAUUCAGGUAUUUUGAGACAAAGAAUAGCCUUAACACCAUUGCAAUUUCAGCAUACAAAACUUAACAAGACAUACAUGAAUAGUGUCGAACAAGAUGAAACAACUCAUAUUCAUCUGCAAGUCUCAAUUACAUAGGAAUCAAACAGAAGAAAAAGAGCCAUAUGUACCUUGAUGGAACAAUUAAGUAUCAGCAAAAUAAAAGUGAGACUGUUAGAGGAAUUUCAGGAGCAGGAACAACAACGAACAAACAGCUUCAACCAACCUAGAGGAUCAAACUUCUGAACCCAAAACAAACCAAUUAAAACCAGAGGUCCCCAACUAUUAAAAAAAGAAAACUCUCUAUUUUUCAAAGCAUAUUUUUAAACUUGUGAAGAAUCAGAGAAAAAUGAGAGGUUUAAGAUUUUACCUUGACUCUGGAUUUUCAGAAGGAUAAUGGAAUUUUCUGCAGUAAAAUGCUGAUCAAUUUCGU
This 1041-nucleotide long non-coding RNA is filed under the name Nicotiana benthamiana. Its description in RNAcentral is "long non-coding RNA (NBEN_LNC010039)". The record is from RNAcentral. Lineage: Eukaryota; Viridiplantae; Streptophyta; Magnoliopsida; Solanales; Solanaceae.